AACAACCCCGCCAAAUUAAAGAAUCAAUCUUUCUUGAUCGGCAACAACAUUAAUCAAUCAACAAAAACUCUAGAAAUUGGGAAGAAAAGCAAAAGGAACUAAAACCCCAAUAAAAUCUUUAACCGAACCCUUGUGAUUAAAUCGUAUGUUUCGUGGAUUGCAAGUAAAAAAAAAAGGAAAAAUUCAAAACUGUGUAGUCAACUCUACAAAACACGUGGUUCUUGGAGGAAAAGAAAACCCAAAAAAAAACCCGAACGGGAGAAUUAUAAAUGUAGAGAGAGAAAGAGAGAGAGAGAGAGAGAGAG
RNAcentral lists this long non-coding RNA (305 nucleotides) under Erythranthe guttata (spotted monkey flower). Its description in RNAcentral is "long non-coding RNA (EGUT_LNC001949)". Lineage: Eukaryota; Viridiplantae; Streptophyta; Magnoliopsida; Lamiales; Phrymaceae. The record is from RNAcentral.